CCCACUGUAAGCCAGUAGCUGCA
Molecule: non-coding RNA, 23 nt
Filed under: Cricetulus griseus (Chinese hamster)
Lineage: Eukaryota; Metazoa; Chordata; Mammalia; Rodentia; Cricetidae
Source: RNAcentral